UGGAAAAGGGGGUGCAUCUAGUGGAAGUUACCCACCCUGGAUAAGGGAGUUCAGAGAUGAACAACUGAAGGAAACAGGUUCCAGAAGGUUUGCAUACCCCAAAGGGCAACCCCUUAGCCAUGAAGCAGCAAUCCCUCCACUGGCCCUUCCCUCCAGUCCCUGGAAACCACGACUCUGCUUCUGUCUCUCCAUCUGCCUGCCGGGUAUUUCACACAGAUGGAAUCACACGUUCGGAGGACAGACGACAUGUUUGAGAAGCUGGAUUAAAACAUCAGAGAGGAUCUACCAGGAUCACAGAAGGGUCACUUUCCAGGUGGUGAUAACAGAUUUCAUCCAUGACCUGGAAAUCAUUUUAGAUCAAGAACAUCAGCCCAGCUUUGUGUUCAGGAUCACAAGUUUGAUUCCUGGUCCAGGAACAUCCCACGUGCCCUGGAGCAACUAAGCUCGUGUGCCAUACCUACUGAGCGUGUGCUCUAGAGCCGGUGAGCAACACAAGAAACCACGGCCUCUGGAAGGCCACACACAACAAAGAGUUAGCUCUUUGUUGCUGCUCUCUGCGACUAGAGAAAGCCCAGGCACAGCAGUGAGGACCCAGCAUGGCCAAAAAUAAAUAUGAAGAAAUAAACAAAGCCAUGUUGCACAUGCAACUAAUCCAUUGAGUCCUGUGUCUUUUGGGUGCACGUAACAGAAGAAACGAUCAAUGCUUAAAAAAAAAUUAGCUAAGGAACAUGUAACUGGGUUGAAUAGAGUCUCCAAAAACUCAU
Molecule: non-coding RNA, 764 nt
Organism: Odocoileus virginianus texanus
Lineage: Eukaryota; Metazoa; Chordata; Mammalia; Artiodactyla; Cervidae
Source: RefSeq, a predicted model, not a curated record